GCCUAACACAUGCAAGUCGAACGAGACCUUCGGGUCUAGUGGCGCACGGGUGCGUAACGCGUGGGAAUCUGCCCUUGGGUUCGGAAUAACUCGCCGAAAGGCGUGCUAAUACCGGAUGAUGUCGAAAGACCAAAGAUUUAUCGCCCAGGGAUGAGCCCGCGUAAGAUUAGCUAGUUGGUGAGGUAAAGGCUCACCAAGGCGACGAUCUUUAGCUGGUCUGAGAGGAUGAUCAGCCACACUGGGACUGAGACACGGCCCAGACUCCUACGGGAGGCAGCAGUGGGGAAUAUUGGACAAUGGGCGAAAGCCUGAUCCAGCAAUGCCGCGUGAGUGAUGAAGGCCUUAGGGUUGUAAAGCUCUUUUACCCGGGAUGAUAAUGACAGUACCGGGAGAAUAAGCUCCGGCUAACUCCGUGCCAGCAGCCGCGGUAAUACGGAGGGAGCUAGCGUUGUUCGGAAUUACUGGGCGUAAAGCGCACGUAGGCGGCUUUGUAAGUCAGAGGUGAAAGCCUGGAGCUCAACUCCAGAACUGCCUUUGAGACUGCAUCGCUUGAAUCCAGGAGAGGUGAGUGGAAUUCCGAGUGUAGAGGUGAAAUUCGUAGAUAUUCGGAAGAACACC
Molecule: ribosomal RNA, 618 nt
Filed under: uncultured Alphaproteobacteria bacterium
Lineage: Bacteria; Pseudomonadati; Pseudomonadota; Alphaproteobacteria
Description: bacterial SSU rRNA
Rfam family: Bacterial small subunit ribosomal RNA
Source: RNAcentral